RNAcentral lists this ribosomal RNA (492 nucleotides) under uncultured bacterium. RNAcentral describes it as "partial 16S ribosomal RNA". It matches the Rfam family "Bacterial small subunit ribosomal RNA", at positions 29 to 507 of the family's 1533-position model. The record is from RNAcentral.
AGUGAACGCUGGCGGUAGGCCUAACACAUGCAAGUCGAACGGCAGCACAGUAAGAGCUUGCUCUUACGGGUGGCGAGUGGCGGACGGGUGAGGAAUACAUCGGAAUCUACUUUUUCGUGGGGGAUAACGUAGGGAAACUUACGCUAAUACCGCAUACGACCUACGGGUGAAAGCAGGGGAUCUUCGGACCUUGCGCGAUUGAAUGAGCCGAUGUCGGAUUAGCUAGUUGGCGGGGUAAAGGCCCACCAAGGCGACGAUCCGUAGCUGGUCUGAGAGGAUGAUCAGCCACACUGGAACUGAGACACGGUCCAGACUCCUACGGGAGGCAGCAGUGGGGAAUAUUGGACAAUGGGCGCAAGCCUGAUCCGGCCAUACCGCGUGGGUGAAGAAGGCCUUCGGGUUGUAAAGCCCUUUUGUUGGGAAAGAAAAGCAGCAGGUUAAAACCCCGCUGUUCUGACGGUACCCAAAGAAUAAGCACCGGCUAACUUCGUG